AUUGAACGCUGGCGGCAGGCUUAACACAUGCAAGUCGAGCGGGGGAGGUUGCUUCGGUAACUGACCUAGCGGCGGACGGGUGAGUAAAGCUUAGGAAUCUGCCUAUUAGUGGGGGACAACAUUCCGAAAGGGAUGCUAAUACCGCAUACGCCCUACGGGGGAAAGCAGGGGAUCUUCGGACCUUGCGCUAAUAGAUGAGCCUAAGUCGGAUUAGCUAGUUGGUGGGGUAAAGGCCUACCAAGGCGACGAUCUGUAGCGGGUCUGAGAGGAUGAUCCGCCACACUGGGACUGAGACACGGCCCAGACUCCUACGGGAGGCAGCAGUGGGGAAUAUUGGACAAUGGGGGGAACCCUGAUCCAGCCAUGCCGCGUGUGUGAAGAAGGCCUUUUGGUUGUAAAGCACUUUAAGCGAGGAGGAGGCUUACCUGGUUAAUACCUAGGAUAAGUGGACGUACUCGCAGAAUAAGCC
Molecule: ribosomal RNA, 469 nt
Filed under: Acinetobacter sp. oral taxon F58
Lineage: Bacteria; Pseudomonadati; Pseudomonadota; Gammaproteobacteria; Moraxellales; Moraxellaceae
Description: bacterial SSU rRNA
Rfam family: Bacterial small subunit ribosomal RNA
Source: RNAcentral